This 780-nucleotide ribosomal RNA is filed under the name uncultured Neocallimastigales. Its description in RNAcentral is "partial large subunit ribosomal RNA". It matches the Rfam family "Eukaryotic large subunit ribosomal RNA", at positions 25 to 634 of the family's 3401-position model. Lineage: Eukaryota; Fungi; Neocallimastigomycota; Neocallimastigomycetes; Neocallimastigales. The record is from RNAcentral.
ACACUGACGUCGCGACGCAUAUCAAUAAGCGGAGGAAAAGAAACUAACAAGGAUUCCCUCAGUAACGGCGAGUGAAGCGGGAAGAGCUCAAAUUUGAAAUCUUCAAGGUUCUACCUUGACGAAUUGUAGUUUAAAGAAGUGUUUUCUGUUAGUGGAGUUUGGUAAAAGUUCUUUGGAAUAGGACAUCAUAGAGGGUGAGAAUCCCGUAUUUGGAUCCAUUAUUUCCAGCUUUGUGAUACACUUUCAAAGAGUCGGAUUGUUUGGGAAUGCAGUCCAAAAUGGGUGGUAAAUUUCAUCUAAAGCUAAAUAUUGGCGAGAGACCGAUAGCGAACAAGUACCGUGAGGGAAAGAUGAAAAGAACUUUGAAAAGAGAGUUAAACAGUACGUGAAAUUGUGUCAAAAGGGAAGCGUUUGACACCAGUGUUGUUUUUCCGAAAAUCAAUUAUAAAUGUUUUGUUUCUGAGGAGUGAUGACUUCAUCGGCUUCCUUCUCUCUUCACGAAACUUUUGUAAUGCACUUUUCGGUUAACAAGUCAACAUCAAUUUCUUUUGUUGUAAAAGAGUAUUCGGAAGGUGGCUUUCUUUUCGGAGAAAGUGUUUAUAGCCCUAUACUUCUACAAUCGGAGAGAUUGAGGUCUGCAGCGUAGAUCCUUCGGGGUUAGAUACACUUGUGCUAAGUUAUAGCUUUUCAUAGACAACUUGUUGACUAUGUUUAGUCUUGUAGCUUACUCGCUUGUGCUAUUUUACCUACGCUUAGGAUGUUGAGUCGUAGAGCACGCAG